This 93-nucleotide small RNA is filed under the name Flavobacterium aquatile LMG 4008 = ATCC 11947. RNAcentral describes it as "Flavobacterium aquatile LMG 4008 Flavo-1 RNA". It matches the Rfam family "Flavo-1 RNA". The record is from Rfam by way of RNAcentral. Lineage: Bacteria; Pseudomonadati; Bacteroidota; Flavobacteriia; Flavobacteriales; Flavobacteriaceae.
UUUUAUUCUAUGGUUGCGUUAGGGAUUGCAGUGGAAAUCCUUUAUUUUUUUCCUUUAAAAAAAUAAAGAUUGCAACGGAAAGCCCGACCUGAA